UGAGGGGCCCAUCAGUAUUUGAGAGU
RNAcentral lists this non-coding RNA (26 nucleotides) under Rattus norvegicus (Norway rat). The record is from RNAcentral. Lineage: Eukaryota; Metazoa; Chordata; Mammalia; Rodentia; Muridae.